Molecule: microRNA, 23 nt
Filed under: Mus musculus (house mouse)
Lineage: Eukaryota; Metazoa; Chordata; Mammalia; Rodentia; Muridae
Description: mmu-miR-466k
Gene: mmu-miR-466k
Source: miRBase by way of RNAcentral
UGUGUGUGUACAUGUACAUGUGA